This 22-nucleotide microRNA is filed under the name Mus musculus (house mouse). RNAcentral's name for it is "mmu-miR-1191b-5p". The record is from miRBase by way of RNAcentral. Lineage: Eukaryota; Metazoa; Chordata; Mammalia; Rodentia; Muridae.
UCAGGCUACAGAGCGAGAACCU